This is a long non-coding RNA of Astatotilapia calliptera (eastern happy), 1049 nucleotides long. The record is from Ensembl. Lineage: Eukaryota; Metazoa; Chordata; Actinopteri; Cichliformes; Cichlidae.
AGAAGCUGUCUGUGACGCAGACGUCUCUGGCAGAUGUGAGAACAUAAAUGUCUGACUUCACUUCAGCCUGACAUUAAAUGGUCUGUACCCUUUCUACCAUGGUAACCGAGACAUCUGAUAUCGCGAGCACGGGGCAUCGUGAUGCCUUAUCUCUUAGGUAAGAGGUGGACUCUUGCUGGAGAGAGGAACGAAUUGGAUGAUUUAUUUUAGGGCACGACUGACUGCUUUGUCUCUGUGGCAGAGCUUCAGGUCUAACAAAAGCGUGCACCUCUGCAGAAGCCAUGGCUGAUAUCUUACUUAAAGUGCAUGAAUCGUUUGUGCUGCAGCAACCCAGUACAGUGUUAUACUACUGCUGUGUUCAAAGGAAAAAGGGGAACGCAGGGAAAUCAGGCUUUAAAAUGCAAACUUGAACAACAACACUGAAGAGCAUCUGUGGUUGUCUCACUGCUGCCUAACCCUUGAUUUCAUGAUCAACUGACUCAGACUGUUUCCAAUCAAAACUGACUUAAUUUUACAAAAUGCAUUUUAAUUUGCAGAAUCCAAAAUGCAGUAUUUUCAAAAAUACUGACACGGUGUGAGAAAAUCCAAGACAAAAAAAGAAAAUAUAAAAAUAUAAAAUAUAAUGCAAGCUCAAAUCCAAAGCAGAGCAACGACCUCCUGUAUUCCCUUCAAACUGGGUCGUUCCUUCAACUCUUCUGUGGACGUUUCUUUAACCUCCUAGGACCUGCCGUCCACAUACGUGGACGUCACAUUUUGGGUUAUUUAGACCAAAAUACUCAAUUCUGCUCUACAAGGGCCUGAUAUCCACUUACGAGGACGUUAUACUGCUACUGUUCUAUCAACAUUUUAAAUGAAUAUCCUCAUGUGGCUGUUUUUAAUAUUCAUUGGGCCCCAAUACGACCAAAAAUAAAAACGAAAUUAAAAAUGCUGCCGUGGAAGAGUUCGGAUUUUAGGAGGUUAAUCUGGCAUCAGGUGAGAUGUGUUUCACAGGUAUAAAAACCUCCUGUAUUCUCUUCCUGUGCUAAUGUCUCACUGAUGCAGAAGGGUUU